UGCUUGGAUACGCAGUGUAGCUUAAUAUAAAGCAUCUCGCUUACACCGAGAAAAUGUCCGUGAAAAUCAGACCACUACGAG
RNAcentral lists this transfer RNA (81 nucleotides) under Sclerophrys steindachneri (Steindachner's toad). RNAcentral's name for it is "tRNA-Val". The stretch from base 11 to 80 matches the Rfam family "tRNA". From Rfam's summary of the family: Transfer RNA (tRNA) molecules are approximately 80 nucleotides in length. Their secondary structure includes four short double-helical elements and three loops (D, anti-codon, and T loops). Further hydrogen bonds mediate the characteristic L-shaped molecular structure. tRNAs have two regions of fundamental functional importance: the anti-codon, which is responsible for specific mRNA codon recognition, and the 3' end, to which the tRNAs corresponding amino acid is attached (by aminoacyl-tRNA synthetases). tRNAs cope with the degeneracy of the genetic code in two manners: having more than one tRNA (with a specific anti-codon) for a particular amino acid; and 'wobble' base-pairing, i.e. permitting non-standard base-pairing at the 3rd anti-codon position. The record is from RNAcentral. Lineage: Eukaryota; Metazoa; Chordata; Amphibia; Anura; Bufonidae.